This is a small nucleolar RNA of Sorex fumeus (smoky shrew), 131 nucleotides long. RefSeq annotates it as small nucleolar RNA SNORA70. Lineage: Eukaryota; Metazoa; Chordata; Mammalia; Eulipotyphla; Soricidae. The record is from RefSeq and is a predicted model, not a curated record. The transcript has a single exon.
AUGUUGGCAUUAUAGAAUAUCACAUCAGACAACUCAGUAAACGGCUGGACAGUAGCUAGAUAGCAUGGUCCUUGGGAGUAUCUGCUGCCUGUGACUUGUAUGGGUUUCCCUAAGGGACCCUGGACAUAGUC